This 176-nucleotide ribosomal RNA is filed under the name Echinomuricea sp. d NF-2020. Its description in RNAcentral is "partial large subunit ribosomal RNA". Lineage: Eukaryota; Metazoa; Cnidaria; Anthozoa; Malacalcyonacea; Plexauridae. The record is from RNAcentral.
UACGUGAAACCGUUGAAAGGGAAGCGAAUGGAGUUAGCAAUUCGCCCUGCCAGAUUCAGUAGCUCGCGCUCCGUGACGGGCGUGCGCUCUCGAUCCACAUGGACGAGUCGUGUGCGGGUGCGGCGCGCCACAUGGGCAUUUCUGGCGGGCAACCGUCCACGUCGGUUGCCGACGUG